UUCCCUGUGGCUCAGUUGGUAGAGCAUGGUGUUUGCAACGCCAGGGUUAUGGGUUCGAUUUCCACGGGGGGC
RNAcentral lists this transfer RNA (72 nucleotides) under Salmo salar (Atlantic salmon). It matches the Rfam family "tRNA". Rfam says of the family: Transfer RNA (tRNA) molecules are approximately 80 nucleotides in length. Their secondary structure includes four short double-helical elements and three loops (D, anti-codon, and T loops). Further hydrogen bonds mediate the characteristic L-shaped molecular structure. tRNAs have two regions of fundamental functional importance: the anti-codon, which is responsible for specific mRNA codon recognition, and the 3' end, to which the tRNAs corresponding amino acid is attached (by aminoacyl-tRNA synthetases). tRNAs cope with the degeneracy of the genetic code in two manners: having more than one tRNA (with a specific anti-codon) for a particular amino acid; and 'wobble' base-pairing, i.e. permitting non-standard base-pairing at the 3rd anti-codon position. The record is from Rfam by way of RNAcentral. Lineage: Eukaryota; Metazoa; Chordata; Actinopteri; Salmoniformes; Salmonidae.